This 7530-nucleotide long non-coding RNA is filed under the name Medicago truncatula (barrel medic). RNAcentral describes it as "long non-coding RNA (MTRU_LNC000232)". Lineage: Eukaryota; Viridiplantae; Streptophyta; Magnoliopsida; Fabales; Fabaceae. The record is from RNAcentral.
CAUCAUGCACAACUAGCCGCAGCGUCGACACAUUCAAAUGUGGAGCCUACAAUUGGACCAUGCAUGAGUUUUGUGGAAGUGGAAUAAACAGCUACAUACUUCUGGUUGUGUGUGAGAGCAGUGGUCAAUGGUCAUGCCAUUCAUUUGGUCAUGAAUGAGAAUGGAUGGCAACAAAAGAGAACGGUUUCAGGUCACAUGUAAGCGGUCAGAAACGCCAUUGAAACAUAUAUCACAACAACCGUGCACUGUUCAACAUAAAACACAGUAGGCUGUGCAUUAUUUUUACUAUUUAAAAGAAAAUUUACUAAUGUUUGACAAGUAUAAACAGAUUGGGAAAUGUGGUGCACCUGGCUACAAUAACAUCUCAUCUCAGCUGCCAAUCAGGAAAUUGUCACAUAAGGAAUGUGAGAAAUUGUAUGCCAACGCUCUCCUUGCUCCUUUUGGUACAACUGCUUAAUUAAUGGACAGUCAUGAAUGGACAAAGUAGAAAGGGAGAUGGGUAGACCCUCCUCUGGCAAGCUCUCAAAACAAGGACAGUCUUCAAUAUAUAGAGAUUCAAGUGAAGUGAGGUGGAGAAGACCCUUGUAGUUGAUUUUUCUUAGGUUGGAACAAUUUGUCAACUCAAGAGAGUUAAUAGUUGAUGGCAGCAUACUCUCCUCUGGAAAGGAUUCCAAGAUUUCAAAAUCAUCACUAACACUCAAUUGUUUUAAAGAUUUGAGUUGGAACAAACCCCACUCCUCUCUCGAAGCCUUUUCAAGGUGGAUGGCAAUUCAUUUAUCAAAAUGCCAUCACAUCUCUUUAGUUCUAGCUCACUGAUAUUACCAGCCUUGGGAAUUGACGCCUCCAACUCUUGGCAAUCAAUAAUCUCCAAUUUUUGCAAACAAGGAAGGUAUUGAGGCAGGUCACUUUUCAACUUGGGACAAUGUUUUAUACAAAGCUCUUUAAGAAAAGGGAAACCUCCACGACAUAACCAUACCUUCCAUUCAGACAUGUUCUUAAAACACAAUGUUUCAAGGGAUCUAAAUGGAACAUUUGAUGAAUUAUAGCCGCAAAACUCUGAACCAAUGAACGUUAUUCCAUGACAUCCUGAUAUGGAAAGCUUCUUGAGAGAAGGGAACUGCCCAAGUGGUGGCAACUGGGAACAAUAUUUACAUCCCAACAAUUCAAGAGAUACUAAAUUGGGUAGAUGAUGAUCCCCAAGCCAAUUAGGAAAGCUACUACCUCUGUAGUCAUUGAUGCCGAGCCUCAUGAGAUUUCUAUUUGGUCGAAGAGCCUCCAAGAUCGAGACACGUGCUUUAGUUACUGAGUGAUGAGUAAAUAAUGAGUAGUUUUUAUAUAAUAUUUGAUUUCGUUUUAUUUAGAUUUAAGUUUAUUUUAUUUUAAUAUACGGCCAUGCCACCUCCUAGGCCUACUUUUGCUGCUUUUGCUUCAUGGACAAGCUGCCUAUUUUGACCUAAAAGCCCGUGGUUUCUUGUGGAACAUUCUACUGAAUAGUUGCUUAGGUUUUAAGUCGACAUAAGACUAUAAAUAAAGUAUCUAGCUAUCACAACAAAUCAUCUUUUGUUCUCUGAAAUAAUAAGUGACAAUUGUUUCUUUGAAUAAAAGUUCACCUUUAUUUUAUGUUCUUCUUCCUCUUCUUCUCUUCUAUGUCUACAACGAACGUUAGUGAGUAGGCUCUCCUUGUCUUGGGAUUGUUGGAUAAGUCUAAUAACGUAAACCUAAUCAAACCAAACCAUAAACCCUAGUUUUAUAUAAAUCUACUUCUACUUUCUAAUCUAAUUUCACCGUUUUUAUAAUGAAUUAACAAUUACUAAGCUAAGAAGCGAAUGCGGAGGGUUUAGUAAUUGUUAAUUCAUCAUCACAAAUAUUAAGCGAAGGAUCGAAAGAUGGAUUUUUAAUAUUGAAACAAGUGAAAUUAGACAAAGGUUGCGAAACAUGAGAAUAGUCUAGCAAACCUUGAGACAUAUAAAGUUUCGUUCUUCAAGGAUUCUAAUAGAAAUCAACCAUGAGAAUAGGCGUGGUUGCUGGAGGAACACACUCACUGAGACCGAAAGGAGAUGUGAUAGGCUAAAGAGAAACUUAUCUUUAGAAAGUAGAUCAAAUAUAAAGUUAGAAGUUUAGGGUUUGUUGGUGAAGGAUUUGUUGUUAUGAUGAACCAAUAAUCCCAAUGCUCUUUUAUUUUUAUUCUUUUCUUUUAAUUAAAAAUCCAAACUUUCUCAAACUCUCAUCUAAUCAUUAUUUAAAGUUAAUUGAAUUCAUAACUCCCUGUCGGAACGAUACUCUUUUAUUGCUACAUCGGUAGAACUGUGCACUUGCGGUUUUAUCCCAUCACUGAGCCAUCCAUUUCUCUCAAUUCAUCGUACGACAAACUUAAUUCUUCUAAAUGUUUCUUAUCUUUCAAAUUUGCUGCCAUAGCAUCUGCUGGAUCAGCAACAUUUACAACCCUGAAAUUUGAAGCCUUCCUUUAAGGUGGUUGACUUCUGCCAACUGCUUAAUAUCAUAUCCAUGUUGCUCUCCCACAACAAAAUCAGUCAGAAUCUCAAGAUUGAAUAAUUCUCGUAUCUCCUUUGGCAUCUUCUUAAUAUGCGUUCCUUUCAAAUUAAGAUGACGUAAAUUGAUAAGUUUGCAAAAAUUUGAUGGGAGCUUAGUCAAUUUAAAACAUUCUUCCGGUAAGAGCGUAUGCAAAUUAUACAACAUGCAAAUGGAAUUAGGUAAGCUUGUAAUUUCAGUGUAAGAAAGGUCUAGAUAGCACAAAAGCUUUAAAUUUCUUAUCAGAUCAUCAGCUAGCUCUAAAAGAUUGGAACCAGAGAUAGACAACAUCCGCAAAUAUUUUAAUAAUUUUAAGAACAAAUUAAGCUGUCCGUCGGUGCUUAACUUAAAUCCGCAAAUAUUUUAAUAAUUUUAAGAACAAAUUAUAACUGUCUGAAAGUAAAAAUUCGACUAUUUCCUCUUUUUCACGCUCUCUACCAUAUACGAUAGAUUCAGCCAUGAAUGAUGAAGUAGCAAAAUCGCUGGCUCCAUCUUCAUAAUAAUAAGAACUAUGAAGUUGCAAUCUAUCCUUUUGAUUUGCAAGAAACUCUAACCUCUUGAGCAAUACUUUAAUCCUAGAUUCAAAUCGAUUGAUAGAACCUGAAAGAUAGCGUUGUAUCUUUCCCUUUUGUUGUGCAGCAUCAGUAGCAAUGACAUCCAAUACUUGCUCUAAUUCUUAUACCGCAUCACUGCCAUCAUCUUCACGUCUAGUUUCUCGUACUACUCUGUCUCUUCGUCAUCCAGCACUUUAUUGAUAGACUUCAGUGUGAUUUCAAGUUUUUUCACUAGCCCAUCAUUCAAGUAGUCUCUGAAAUCUGUUGAAGCUAACCUCUCAUAAAUCAAUUGAAUGAUAGGGGAAAGAAAUGCCUGACCAACAACAACCUCUGCCAUGAUAUCAAUUAAUUGAACAAAAACAAAAUGAUCUGAGCAAGCGUGUUUCACAACUCUGGGAUGUAGGCUAUAUGCAAGCGUAUUUAUUUAUUCAUUGAUUUGUUUAUUGUUACAAUACCAACCACCUCAACUCUAUUCACUUGUUUCAACCAUAUAUUCUUUUUAAAAUGAUAAACUUAUGUCAAAUAACACCUAGAGUGGGAAUAAGCUGGCCUAAGCUAUAAGUUGUUAGGCAUAAGUAUGUUGAUAAAAAAACAAAUAAUUCAAGGACUAAAUUUAAUAUGUAGUCUAUCAUAUGCUUAUGUUAUUGUUGGAGUUUUUUUAUUUUAUUUUUUUAAAUCUGAUAUGAUAAAAGUAUUUAAAUAAGUAAUAUCACAUGCAUGUUUCCCCCCAGCCGAUGGAAGAUUAGGCGAGUGUUAUUGCAACCGAAUGAGGACCAUCUGAUUCUUUCUCAACUCUUAUGCAUAGUACAUGGAUCUUGAAGACUUUCGACUAAGUCAAAGCUUAGUAGAACGGAACAAUGAGACAUGAAACUCAAGAUCCUUGUUUUUAGCACCAUUAACCACAAAGAGUGACGAGUAAGGAGUUUCGUUUCAAGGAAGAUUGUGCACUAUGGAACGUUAUCAACGGAUCAAGUUGUCAAGUUGGAAGAUGUCAGCCGAACUAGGGCACUACAUGUCAUGUCAUGUCCUUCCGUCUCCUCCAAAACCCAACUCGCACAAAAUCCACAAAUUCAUGUGUUAUUUUGUAUCAGAAAAAAAAAACAAAUCUAAAUUUUUUAGUUUUUGAAGACGGAGAUGCUCUAAAUUCCAAGUUUUUCCAAGUUAAAAAAAAAGUAAAAAAAACUUCCAAGUCUCUGUUUAGAUAUAUUAUCCGGUUCAUUGAAAGAUAUUAUCCUUUUUAUACUAAAAAAAAUUAAAAAUAAACUUCGAUACAUCAUACAUUAAAUAAGAUUUACUGUAUAAAUUAAGAAACAUUUGGAAAUGUAAAGUGAAAAUGGCCAACAAUAAUUAAGUGGUUAAUGAGCUUCCAUCGAACAACGAAAUUCGGAUGGAUGGAAUAAUUCUUAGACAAGUGAUAUUGCGGAAGAACUUUGGAAAGAUUUUAUGAGAUGAAGGAAAGGAAGAAAAAUGUAAAAUUUCGGGUUCUUUUUUAUAUGAGAAGCAAUCUAAUAGAACAAGUAAGUUGAUAAGUAAUAUGUGUUGUAAAAUUAAGCAUAAAAUAUUAUCUCUAUAAAUAAUAAACAAUAUAUAAAUAUAAUAAUUAAUUUAUAUUGAUGAGAAUAAACAAAAGAGACAAAUCAAUUAAACUUAUCUGUCUUGAUAUUGUUGUAGAAUUGACCAUCUACAUAAUUCAAUCAACAUCUUUAAACACCAAUUUGAUAAGAGAACUGCAACAUGAACAAACGGUGGAAGUAGUCUGAGACAUGCUGAUCACACUGUCUUUAAGGAUUUUCCGCUUAAUUAUACUCUAAUCCUAACAUACCCUGCUUGGUUUAAAACCAAGGAUGCAGAAGUCGCAAGAAGGAAAAUUUUCAGGAAGAUGAGAACCAAAUGUUGUGUAUAGACUCAUGAAAAAUCAAAUAAUACAUGACUUGAAGCUUAUGGUUUUUGUUGUGCUAUUGCUCACUAACCAUGAAAAGGGAGAAUUUUCUACAGUACGGUGUAAACUUCUACUCCCUUCUCAAGUGGUAAAACGUGCAGCAAUAGAGAUACACAUAUAUAUUUAGUUUUAGUGAAUUAAGGUUUGGCUAAACAAUAUUAUUUUACAUUCAAGAGAUAUUAAAGCAAAAACGGUUACAAAACUUUGGAGUUGAAAAUAUGUUACAAAACCUGGUCAAAGAUUAUAAAUAAUAAUUAGAUAAUGAUUUCUAUUAAAAUAUUUUUUAUAUAUUUCUCAAUUAAAAAUAUAGGACACAAAAUAUUUAAAACUUUUGAAAUAUACUCAAAAUUUACAACAAUAUGAAAUGCAAUCUAUAGCAGGAAAAAAUAAUGAACAUUUAGCAUAGAGAGGAAAUGACCUAGGCGUGUUUCAAGUUAUCAACUAAGUGAGAUGUGAUUGAUCAUCAAAAAAAUAAAUAAAUUGGGAAACAUCAAUACUUUGUUAUUCACUACUAAAUUUUUAAAUUGAUAAGCUUAUGAAAAAUACUGGCUGGGAAUAAAUUGGGUUGAGCUAAAAGUUGUUUAGCCUAAACUUGAUCUGAUAAAAAAUUUCAAGGAUUAAAUCUUGCAUGUAAUCUCUUAUAUACUUAAGUUUAGGUAUGAAUUUGAUCUUUUAUAAAGUUUGGUAUGACUAGUUAACCUACAUAAAAAAAAUAAUUCUAAAGGAUAACUUUUGUGAAAACAUUUAGAGUUUAUGAGAACAUUUUAUGACAUGUCCUGAAGCUGUUUUCAACUUAUCGAUAAGCUCUAAAGAUUGCUUAUGAAAAUAGUUUGACUUUAUUUUAACUUUUGUUAUAGAAACAGCAAGCACUUGUAUGAAACAUUUAUGCUUUAAGCACUUAGUUAUUUUUCCAAACAAAACCUGAUUAUGAAAGAGAGACUUUGUAUAUCAAACUUUGGUCAAAAAUAUGUUUUCUAAAUGCCUGAAAAGAAAGACAGAAUAGUGUUACUUGGCUAUCACUGAACCUCAUUUUCUCUACUAUCUUUCUCUCAAUAAAUGUCAUCAUUCAACUUCUAACAGAAAAUUACAUAUUAAUUAUGUUGUAAUCAUUACCAGUAAAAACCUUGUGAAAGAAAUAAACAAUUAUAUCCAAAUACUCGUGAAUAGGCAUAACUAUCUAUAACUGUAACCUGGACCAAAUUUGUUAAAUAAAUGAAAUGUGAAAAGGUGGUUCACAUUAUUGAUCUCCAUUUUUCCCAUAUGAAACUAUAAAUCUGAAAAAUACAGGAAUUCAUGAAAAGAAAGAUGUAUUGGACCAAAUGAGCUAUCAUUUGACAACUAAAGCAGGGAAAUUGCAUUUUCCUUUACAGAUUAAUCCAACCAAAGUUGCAAACUCAAAGAUGUCAAUUUCGAAAACUUGUCUGUGAAGACAGAAGAUGCUGUUGUAAUUACUUCUAAUCUUCAGCUACAUUCUCUCCUCGCCCUUGAUGAUGAAACGGCUGGGAGAAUCUCACCAGCAGGACCAGCAUUUAUCAAUCUGCAGUGAGAAGUACACAUAGGUCAGAGGGAUUCCGUAAAGUGGCUCGAGAGAGAUAUGAUCAAUGCAUAUAUCUUGAGUCCUGAUUCGCCAUUGUUGGAUCUAUUUUUAGGCAGUUCACCUAAGAAGGAUAUUUGCUUAACACUACGCAAAAUCUACAACCGCAACUUUUAGUGAUUACUGAACAGGAUCAAAUCUAUAUAGAUGUAAUUUAAUGAAGAGAAUCAACCGAGCAUUUAAAAUUCACUUUUUGACUGCUUGGACUCAACUGGUACGAGGACAUCAGUGGAUCAACAAAAGAAUGAGCCCAUGCUUCAAUAAUAACAGCCACAAGAAAUUUGAUUAAAUCAUGGUUCAACUAUGAUUAAAAAACACCAAAUUUCACUGAUAACAAAGUGGCAUAAAAAAAGGGCAACCCGGUGCACUAGAGCUCCUGCAUAUGCAGGGUCCGGGUUUCAAUUUUUUAUUUUCUGCAAUAUUUUCUACCACUUCUUUCUAACAAUAAAAAGUAAAACAGAAAAUCAAAGUUAAAGGACAUGUCAUAUCCUCACCUUAUAAUUGGUAGACACAAGUAAUUCUCACGCCUCUUUUUUCAAGUCUCAUGUUUUCUGGGAACCUGAAAUUAAUACAGAGUCACAAUAUUAAGAGACCCCGAAAAAGGGAUACAAAGUCACAAGAAUAACAAAGAGAAGAUUAUAUGGUGACUUAAAUUAAAAACAAUUACAUCAUGCACAACAAGUCGCAGCGUCGACACAUCCAAAUGCGGAGCCUACAAUUAGACCAUGCAUGAGCUUUGUGGAAGUAAAAUAAACAGCAACAUACUUUUGGUUGUGUGUGAGAGCAGUGGUCAUGCCAUUCGUUUGGUCACGAAUGAGAAUGGAUCGCAACAAGAGAGCAUGGUUUCAGGUCACAUGUAAGCAGUCAGAAACACCAUUGAAACAUAUAUCACAAACACAGUGCACUGUUCAACA